CAAUAGCGUAUAUUAAAGUUGUUGCAGUUAAAAAGCUCGUAGUUGGAUUUGUGGCGUACGGUGGGUUCCGGGCACUUGUUGUCUGAGUAACUUGCUGUUGCCAUCCUUGGGUGGAACCUGUGUGGCAUUAGGUUGUCGUGCAGGGGAUGCCCAUCAUUUACUGUGAAAAAAUUAGAGUGUUCAAAGCAGGCUUAUGCCGUUGAAUAUAUUAGCAUGGAAUAAUGAGAUAGGACUUUUUUGCUAUUUUGUUGGUUUGCGCAAAGAGGUAAUGAUUAAUAGGGACAGUUGGGGGUAUUCGUAUUCCAUUGCCAGAGGUGAAAUUCUUGGAUUUUUGGAAGACGAACUACUGCGAAAGCAUUUACCAAGGAUGUUUUCAUUAA
RNAcentral lists this ribosomal RNA (380 nucleotides) under uncultured eukaryote. RNAcentral describes it as "partial 18S ribosomal RNA". It matches the Rfam family "Eukaryotic small subunit ribosomal RNA", at positions 592 to 976 of the family's 1831-position model. The record is from RNAcentral.